AUAGACCAAAGGCUAUAUUUCUAGCAUGACAUGAUUUCCAGUAGGUUGAAUUGCUUGAACGCAAACUAUUUCCUGGGGUGUUAUUAUAUUAUUAUUGUUGCAAUUUUUUUCCUAUCAUUUUCCAAUCUCAAAUGCUCAAGAAUUGGAAAAAAAAUUUCUGUUUCCCCAGAUCACUGGAUACACUUUUCUUCAUCCCUUCAAUUUCUCGGCUGUUUUCUCUUCUUCUGAAGGAUUGGCACUAACCUCUACUAAAGCAUAGCCAGACUGCUCCACCCAGAGAUGGCUGAAGGAAGUGGAAAUGAGGAGACAACUCUUGAGCAUACAUCAACAUGGGCAGUGGUAGUUGUUUAUUUCAUCUUGAUUGCUGUUUCCAUACUUAUUGAACAUGGUCUUCAUCUUCUGGCUAAGUGUUUGGACAGGUGGGAGUAUAUUGGCGGCACUUGGUUCCUUUCAGUAAAUGUGGUUUUCAAAAUCUGAGUUUGAGGAACAUGGAACUUCUUAUGUUCAAAGAAAAUGCCCGUAAAGUACUUUACUGGUGCAAACAAUUAUCACAUUAGACAGAAAU
This is a long non-coding RNA of Coffea arabica (coffee), 565 nucleotides long. RefSeq lists it as uncharacterized. The record is from RefSeq and is a predicted model, not a curated record. NCBI's taxonomy places the organism in Eukaryota, Viridiplantae, Streptophyta, Magnoliopsida, Gentianales, Rubiaceae.